CCCUUAGAUGUUCUGGGCCGCACGCGCGCUACACUGUUCGACGCAGCGAGUCUUAACCUUGACCGAAAGGUUUGGGUAAUCUUCAGCAAAGUCGAACGUGAUGGGGAUCGAUCAUUGCAAUUAUUGAUCGUGAACGAGGAAUUCCUAGUAAGUGCAAGUCAUCAGCUUGCGCUGAUUACGUCCCUGCCCUUUGUACACACCGCCCGUCGCUACUACCGAUUGAAUGGUUUAGUGAGAUCUCUGGAUUGACGCUGGCUAGGGGGCGACCCUUGGCCAGACUGUUGAGAAACUGCUCAAACUUGAUCAUUUAGAGGAAGUAAAAAUCGUAACA
This 331-nucleotide ribosomal RNA is filed under the name uncultured eukaryote. RNAcentral's name for it is "partial 18S ribosomal RNA". It matches the Rfam family "Eukaryotic small subunit ribosomal RNA", at positions 1470 to 1796 of the family's 1831-position model. The record is from RNAcentral.